RNAcentral lists this small RNA (276 nucleotides) under Drosophila erecta. Its description in RNAcentral is "GG27028". Lineage: Eukaryota; Metazoa; Arthropoda; Insecta; Diptera; Drosophilidae. The record is from RNAcentral.
ACACACGCCAACACGCGGCCAGCAAACACACUUUUCGGCUGGCCAAGUGAAACAAAAUUCUUGCCUGUUGCAGCCAAAGCGUUAGCAAACAUAGUGAUAAAGACAAAGUGUUCAAGACAAAAUGUAAUCAAUACCAUUAAAAAUUAUACAACAAGAAAUCAACUUAUUAAUCAACCGAUCAACUGGAAAACUGAGCAAUGUCAAGGCAAAGGUUCUCAACAGCAUGUCCCGUUUAAGAUGCGCACAAUUAGCUUAAAACGACAGCAGGACAUGGAG